Molecule: ribosomal RNA, 492 nt
Filed under: uncultured bacterium
Lineage: Bacteria
Description: partial 16S ribosomal RNA
Rfam family: Bacterial small subunit ribosomal RNA
Source: RNAcentral
AGUGAACGCUGGCGGUAGGCCUAACACAUGCAAGUCGAACGGCAGCACAGUAAGAGCUUGCUCUUACGGGUGGCGAGUGGCGGACGGGUGAGGAAUACAUCGGAAUCUACUUUUUCGUGGGGGAUAACGUAGGGAAACUUACGCUAAUACCGCAUACGACCUACGGGUGAAAGCAGUGGAUCUUCGGACCUUGCGCGAUUGAAUGAGCCGAUGUCGGAUUAGCUAGUUGGCGGGGUAAAGGCCCACCAAGGCGACGAUCCGUAGCUGGUCUGAGAGGAUGAUCAGCCACACUGGAGCUGGGACACGGUCCAGACUCCUACGAGAGGCAGCAGUGGGGAAUAUUGGACAAUGGGCGCAAGCCUGAUCCAGCCAUACCGCGUGGGAGAAGAAGGCCUUCGGGUUGUAAAGCCCUUUUGUUGGGAAAGAAAAGCAGCAGGUUAAUACCCCGCUGUUCUGACGGUACCCAAAGAAUAAGCACCGGCUAACUUCGUG